UGGUUGAUCCUGCCAGUAGUCAUAUGCUUGUCUCAAAGAUUAAGCCAUGCAUGUGUAAGUACAGGCCGACUUAAGGCGAAACCGCGGACGGCUCAUUAAAUCAGAUAUAACUCAUUGGAUCUCUGCUGAACCGCAUUACUUGGAUAACUGUGGUAAUUCUAGAGCUAAUACAUGCCUUUGUAGUCUCCGACCGCGAGGGAGGAGCGCUUUUAUUAGACCAAAACCCUCGGCAGCCGGUUCCCGCAAGGGGCCGGCCGCACACAUCUUGGUGAAUCAGAGUAACUUUUGCCGAGCGCACGACCCCUCCCGUAACCCGGGUUGGGUCGGCGCCGCGUCCUGCAGGCGUCUGCCUUAUCAGCUCUCGAUUGUAGGUUAAACGCCUACAGUGGCUAUCACGGGUAACGGGGAAUCAGGGUUCGAUUCCGGAGAGGGAGCCUGAGAAACGGCUACCACAUCUAAGGAAGGCAGCAGGCGCGCAAAUUACCCACUCCCGGCACGGGGAGGUAGUGACGAAAAAUACUGUUGCGAGCCCC
Molecule: non-coding RNA, 533 nt
Organism: Penaeus vannamei (Pacific white shrimp)
Lineage: Eukaryota; Metazoa; Arthropoda; Malacostraca; Decapoda; Penaeidae
Source: RefSeq, a predicted model, not a curated record